This 478-nucleotide ribosomal RNA is filed under the name uncultured bacterium. Its description in RNAcentral is "partial 16S ribosomal RNA". It matches the Rfam family "Bacterial small subunit ribosomal RNA", at positions 28 to 523 of the family's 1533-position model. The record is from RNAcentral.
GACGAACGCUGGCGGCGUGCUUAACACAUGCAAGUCGAACGGUAAGGCCCUUCGGGGUACACGAGUGGCGAACGGGGGAGUAACACGUGGGUGAUCUGCCCUGCACUUCGGGAUAAGCCUGGGAAACUGGGUCUAAUACCGGAGAGGACCACUGCCUGCAUGGGUGGUGGUGGAAAGCUUUUACGGUGUGGGAUGGGCCCGCGGCCUAUCAGGUUGUUGGGGGGGUGAUGGCCUACCAAGGCGGGGAAGGGUAGCCGGCCUGAGAGGGUGACCGGCCACACUGGGACUGAGAUACGGCCCAGACUCCUACGGGAGGCAGCAGUGGGGAAUAUUGCACAAUGGGCGCAAGCCUGAUGCAGCGACGCCGCGUGAGGGAUAACGGCCUUCGGGUUGUAAACCUCUUUCAGCACCGACGAAGCGCAAGUGACGGUAGGUGCAGAAGAAGGACCGGCCAACUACGUGCCAGCAGCCGCCGUAA